GGUUCGCUCGACUAGCGGUCUAGGUCGCCGCCCUCUCAAGGCGGAAACGCAUGUUCGAAUCAUGCGCGAAUCACCA
Molecule: transfer RNA, 76 nt
Filed under: Caudoviricetes sp.
Lineage: Duplodnaviria; Heunggongvirae; Uroviricota; Caudoviricetes
Description: tRNA-Glu
Rfam family: tRNA
About the family: Transfer RNA (tRNA) molecules are approximately 80 nucleotides in length. Their secondary structure includes four short double-helical elements and three loops (D, anti-codon, and T loops).
Source: RNAcentral